RNAcentral lists this small RNA (127 nucleotides) under Marmota monax (woodchuck). The record is from RNAcentral. Lineage: Eukaryota; Metazoa; Chordata; Mammalia; Rodentia; Sciuridae.
GUCGGGUGCGGUGGUGCAUGCCUGUAAUCCCAGAGCCUUGGGAGGCUGAGGCAGGAAGAUUGUGAGUUCAAAGCCAGACUCAGCAACUUAGUGAGGCCCUAAGCAACCCAGCAAGACCCUGUCUCUA